UCGAACGAGAAAGUCCCCUUCUGGGGGAUAAGUAAAGUGGCGCACGGGUGAGUAACACGUAGGUAAUCUACCUUCGGGUGGGGAAUAACCCAGGGAAACUUGGGCUAACACCGCAUAAUGCAGCGGCACCACAUGGUGACAGUUGUUAAAGCGGGGGAUUUUCGGACCUCGCGCCUGAAGAGGAGCCUGCGGCGGAUUAGCUAGUUGGUAAGGUAACGGCUUACCAAGGCGACGAUCCGUAGCCGGCCUGAGAGGGCGGUCGGCCACACUGACACUGACAUACGGGUCAGACUCCUACGGGAGGCAGCAGUCGGGAAUUUUGGGCAAUGGGCGAAAGCCUGACCCAGCAACGCCGCGUGAAGGAUGAAAUCCCUCGGGAUGUAAACUUCGCAAGAAUGGGAAGAAUUAGCGAGCGCUAAUACCGCUCGUGAUGACGGUACCAUUUGUAAGCUCCGGCUAACUCCGUGCCAGCAGCCGCGGUAAUACGGGGGGAGCAAGCGUUGUUCGGAUUUACUGGGCGUAAAGGGCGCGUAGGCGGUCAGCACAAGUCAGUUGUGAAAUCUCCGGGCUUAACUCGGAAAGGUCAACUGAUACUGUGCGACUAGAGUGCGGAAGGGGCAACUGGAAUUCUCGGUGUAGCGGUGAAAUGCGUAGAUAUCGAGAGGAACACCUGCGGCGAAAGCGGGUUGCUGGGCCGACACUGACGCUGAUGCGCGAAAGC
Molecule: ribosomal RNA, 721 nt
Filed under: uncultured bacterium
Lineage: Bacteria
Description: bacterial SSU rRNA
Rfam family: Bacterial small subunit ribosomal RNA
Source: RNAcentral